Molecule: unclassified non-coding RNA, 240 nt
Filed under: soil metagenome
Description: partial contains 5.8S ribosomal RNA, internal transcribed spacer 2, and large subunit ribosomal RNA
Source: RNAcentral
AACAAGGCGUACCUGCGGACCUGCGGAAGGAUCAUUACGAAAUUCUCGGGGGGCGCAGGCCGUGACAGGUCGCGCCCCCGCUGGAAGCGCCGGAAGGCGUCUGACAGCGCAACCCUUUGUGAAAUUCCCCCGUUGCUUCGGCAGCCCCUCCCAAGGAGCGGUAAGCCUGCCGGCGGCAUUGUGGAAACUCAUCCUGAAAACCUGCACCCUCUGUCUGAACAGCGCAGUCGAAUGACUAUA